GGGGGCAUGUGCACACUCUGUUUACACAUCCACUCACACCUGUGCACCCUCUGUAGUUCUAUGGCGUGGGGGGCCCUGCCCUCCUGCUGUGGUUCUAUGUCUUUACACACACACUGUGAUGAAGUCUCAUGGAAUGUACAUCGCGUUUAACGCAAUAUAAUACAACUUUCAGCAACGGAUCUCUUGGCUCUCGCAUCGAUGAAGAACGCAGCGAAAUGCGAUAAGUAGUGUGAAUUGCAGAAUUCAGUGAAUCAUCGAAUCUUUGAACGCACCUUGCGCCCUUUGGCUAUUCCGAAGGGCAUGCCUGUUUGAGUAUCAUGAACACCUCAACUCUCAUGGUUUUCCCAUGACGAGCUUGGACUUUGGGGGUCUUGCUGGCCUAUGGUCGGCUCCUCUUAAAUGAAUCAGCUUGCCAGUGUUUGGUGGCAUCCCAGGUGUGAUAACUAUCUACGCUUGUGGUUUUCCGUCAAGU
This 472-nucleotide ribosomal RNA is filed under the name uncultured Tomentella. RNAcentral describes it as "eukaryotic LSU rRNA". The stretch from base 164 to 318 matches the Rfam family "5.8S ribosomal RNA". Lineage: Eukaryota; Fungi; Basidiomycota; Agaricomycetes; Thelephorales; Thelephoraceae. The record is from RNAcentral.